Molecule: ribosomal RNA, 499 nt
Filed under: uncultured Cupriavidus sp.
Lineage: Bacteria; Pseudomonadati; Pseudomonadota; Betaproteobacteria; Burkholderiales; Burkholderiaceae
Description: bacterial SSU rRNA
Rfam family: Bacterial small subunit ribosomal RNA
Source: RNAcentral
AGGCCUUCGGGUUGUAAAGCACUUUUGUCCGGAAAGAAAUCGCGCUGGUUAAUACCUGGCGUGGAUGACGGUACCGGAAGAAUAAGCACCGGCUAACUACGUGCCAGCAGCCGCGGUAAUACGUAGGGUGCGAGCGUUAAUCGGAAUUACUGGGCGUAAAGCGUGCGCAGGCGGUUUUGUAAGACAGGCGUGAAAUCCCCGGGCUUAACCUGGGAAUUGCGCUUGUGACUGCAAGGCUAGAGUGCGUCAGAGGGGGGUAGAAUUCCACGUGUAGCAGUGAAAUGCGUAGAGAUGUGGAGGAAUACCGAUGGCGAAGGCAGCCCCCUGGGACGUGACUGACGCUCAUGCACGAAAGCGUGGGGAGCAAACAGGAUUAGAUACCCUGGUAGUCCACGCCCUAAACGAUGUCAACUAGUUGUUGGGGAUUCAUUUUCUCAGUAACGUAGCUAACGCGUGAAGUUGACCGCCUGGGGAGUACGGUCGCAAGAUUAAAACUCAA